This 418-nucleotide ribosomal RNA is filed under the name uncultured bacterium. RNAcentral describes it as "bacterial SSU rRNA". It matches the Rfam family "Bacterial small subunit ribosomal RNA", at positions 355 to 786 of the family's 1533-position model. The record is from RNAcentral.
UGGGGAGUAUUGGACAAUGGGGGAGGACCCUGAUCCAGCGACGCCGCGUGAGUGAAGAAGUAUUUCGGUAUGUAAAGCUCUAUCAGCAGGGAAGAAAGAAAUGACGGUACCUGAGUAAGAAGCCCGCUAACUACGUGCCAGCAGCCGCGGUAAUACGUAGGGGCGAAGCGUUAUCCGGAAUUACUGGGUGUAAAGGGAGCGUAGACGGUAAAGCAAGUCUGGAGUGAAAGGCUGGGGCCCAACCCGGCAGCUGCUCUGAACUGGAAUAAUAACUGGAGUGCAGGAGAGGCAGGCGGAAUUCCUAGUGUAGCGGUGAAAUGCGUAGAUAUUAGGAGGAACACCAGUGGCGAAGGCGGCCUGCUGGACUGUAACUGACGUUGAGGCUCGAAAGCGUGGGGAGCAAACAGGAUUAGAUACC